ACUGGGCACAGUGGUGCGUUCCUGUAAUCCUAGCUACUCUGGAGGCUGAGGCGGGAGGAUUGAAAGUUCAAGGCUAAUCCGAGCAACUUAGACCCUGCCUCAA
This 103-nucleotide small RNA is filed under the name Marmota monax (woodchuck). The record is from RNAcentral. Lineage: Eukaryota; Metazoa; Chordata; Mammalia; Rodentia; Sciuridae.